Molecule: ribosomal RNA, 744 nt
Filed under: uncultured bacterium
Lineage: Bacteria
Description: bacterial SSU rRNA
Rfam family: Bacterial small subunit ribosomal RNA
Source: RNAcentral
AGAGUUUGAUCCUGGCUCAGAGCGAACGCUGGCGGAAUGCUUAACACAUGCAAGUCGCACGCCCCGGCAACGGGGAGUGGCGGACGGGUGAGCAACGCGUAGGAACAUGUCCGAAGGUGGGGGACAACCCCGGGAAACUGGGGCUAAUACCGCAUAUGGGCCGAGGCCCAAAGCAGCGAUGCGCCUUUGGAGUGGCCUGCGUCCGAUUAGCUUGUUGGCGGGGUAACGGCCCACCAAGGCUACGAUCGGUAGCUGGUCUGAGAGGACGACCAGCCACACCGGGACUGAGACACGGCCCGGACUCCUACGGGAGGCAGCAGUGGGGAAUAUUGGGCAAUGGGCGCAAGCCUGACCCAGCAAUUCCGCGUGGGUGAAGAAGGUCUUCGGAUUGUAAAGCCCUUUCGGCGGGGACGAUGGUGACGGUACCCGCAGAAGAAGCCCCGGCCAACUUCGUGCCAGCAGCCGCGGUAAUACGAAGGGGGCUAGCGUUGCUCGGAAUCAUUGGGCGUAAAGGGCGCGUAGGCGGCUUUGUUAGUCAGGCGUGAAACCCCUGGGCUCAACCCAGGAACUGCGCUUGAUACGGCGAGGCUUGAGGAUGGAAGAGGGCCGCGGAAUUCCCAGUGUAGAGGUGAAAUUCGUAGAUAUUGGGAAGAACACCGGUGGCGAAGGCGGCGGCCUGGUCCAUUUCUGACGCUGAGGCGCGACAGCGUGGGGAGCAAACAGGAUUAGAUACCCUAGUAGUCC